GCGGGCGUGGCGGAAUGGUAGACGCAUGGGACUUAAACUCCCUGGGGCAGCUGCCCGUGCGGGUUCAAGUCCCGCCGCCCGCACCA
RNAcentral lists this transfer RNA (86 nucleotides) under Paracoccus alkenifer. Its description in RNAcentral is "tRNA_Leu_TAA". It matches the Rfam family "tRNA". Rfam says of the family: Transfer RNA (tRNA) molecules are approximately 80 nucleotides in length. Their secondary structure includes four short double-helical elements and three loops (D, anti-codon, and T loops). Further hydrogen bonds mediate the characteristic L-shaped molecular structure. tRNAs have two regions of fundamental functional importance: the anti-codon, which is responsible for specific mRNA codon recognition, and the 3' end, to which the tRNAs corresponding amino acid is attached (by aminoacyl-tRNA synthetases). tRNAs cope with the degeneracy of the genetic code in two manners: having more than one tRNA (with a specific anti-codon) for a particular amino acid; and 'wobble' base-pairing, i.e. permitting non-standard base-pairing at the 3rd anti-codon position. The record is from RNAcentral. Lineage: Bacteria; Pseudomonadati; Pseudomonadota; Alphaproteobacteria; Rhodobacterales; Paracoccaceae.